UGGGGAAUUUUGGACAAUGGGCGCAAGCCUGAUCCAGCCAUGCCGCGUGCGGGAAGAAGGCCUUCGGGUUGUAAACCGCUUUUGUCAGGGAAGAAAUCCUUUGAGCUAAUACCUCGGGGGGAUGACGGUACCUGAAGAAUAAGCACCGGCUAACUACGUGCCAGCAGCCGCGGUAAUACGUAGGGUGCAAGCGUUAAUCGGAAUUACUGGGCGUAAAGCGUGCGCAGGCGGUUAUGCAAGACAGAUGUGAAAGGCCAGGGCUCAACGGGGGAACUGCAUUGGGGACGGCAUGGCUGGAGUGCGGUAGAGGGGAAUGGAAUUCCGCGUGUAGCAGUGAAAUGCGUAGAUAUGCGGAGGAACGCCGAUGGCGAAGGCAAGCCCCUGGGCCUGCACUGACGCUCAGGCGCGAAAGCGUGGGGAGCAAACA
RNAcentral lists this ribosomal RNA (427 nucleotides) under uncultured bacterium. RNAcentral describes it as "bacterial SSU rRNA". It matches the Rfam family "Bacterial small subunit ribosomal RNA", at positions 355 to 774 of the family's 1533-position model. The record is from RNAcentral.